AGUCGAACGGCAGCACGAGUAAGUUUACUUACUUGGUGGCGAGUGGCGGACGGGUGAGUAACGCGUAGGAAUAUGCCCUGAAGAGUGGGAUAGCUUGGGGAAACUCAGGGUAAUACCGCAUAUAAUCUUAGGAUGAAAGCUGGGGACCGCAAGGCCUGGCGCUUUAGGAGUAGCCUGCGUCUGAUUAGCUAGUUGGUGUGGUAAAGGCGCACCAAGGCGACGAUCGGUAGCUGGUCUGAGAGGAUGGACAGCCACACUGGGACUGAGACACGGCCCAGACUCCUACGGGAGGCAGCAGUGGGGGAUAUUGGACAAUGGGGGAAACCCUGAUCCAGCGAUGCCGCGUGUGUGAAGAAGGCCUGCGGGUUGUAAAGCACUUUCAGUGGGGAGGAGGGUAAGCGAGUUAAAAGCUAGAGUUACUGGACGUUACCCACAGAAGAAGCACCGGCAAACUCCGUGCCAGCAGCCGCGGUAAUACGGAGGGUGCGAGCGUUAAUCGGAAUUACUGGGCGUAAAGGGUGCGUAGGCGGUUUAGUAAGUUAUUUGUGAAAUACAUGGGCUUAACCUAUGUGCUGCAAAUAAUACUGUUAAGCUAGAGUAUGGUAGAGGGUAGUGGAAUUUCCGGUGUANCGNU
This 634-nucleotide ribosomal RNA is filed under the name uncultured bacterium. Its description in RNAcentral is "bacterial SSU rRNA". It matches the Rfam family "Bacterial small subunit ribosomal RNA", at positions 60 to 682 of the family's 1533-position model. The record is from RNAcentral.